ACACUUACCCUGCCAGGGAGACAACAUGGUCACAGAAGUGGUUUUCCCAGAGUGAGGCUUAGUCGUUGCCUUCCUAAUCUGCUAAGCCCUGCGAUUUCCCCAAAUGUGGGAAACGAGACUGUGUAAUUUGUGAUGGUGGGGGACUAGGCUACAUUUGUGCUCCCCCCCC
This 169-nucleotide small nuclear RNA is filed under the name Carlito syrichta (Philippine tarsier). RNAcentral describes it as "U1 spliceosomal RNA (ENSTSYG00000019819.2)". It matches the Rfam family "U1 spliceosomal RNA". Rfam says of the family: U1 is a small nuclear RNA (snRNA) component of the spliceosome (involved in pre-mRNA splicing). Its 5' end forms complementary base pairs with the 5' splice junction, thus defining the 5' donor site of an intron. The record is from RNAcentral. Lineage: Eukaryota; Metazoa; Chordata; Mammalia; Primates; Tarsiidae.